This 1026-nucleotide ribosomal RNA is filed under the name uncultured bacterium. RNAcentral describes it as "bacterial SSU rRNA". It matches the Rfam family "Bacterial small subunit ribosomal RNA", at positions 353 to 1371 of the family's 1533-position model. The record is from RNAcentral.
AGUCGAGAAUCAUUCACAAUGGGGGAAACCCUGAUGGUGCAACGCCGCGUGGAGGAUGACGGUCUUCGGAUUGUAAACUCCUGUCAUCUGGGAGUAAGACCUGGGGGUCAAUAGCCCACAGGGUUGAUAGUACCAGAAGAGGAAGGGACGGCUAACUUCGUGCCAGCAGCCGCGGUAAUACGAAGGUCCCAAGCGUUGUUCGGAAUCACUGGGCGUAAAGGGUGCGUAGGCGGCGUGGUAAGUCAGAUGUGAAAUCCCGGGGCUCAACCUCGGAACUGCAUCCGAUACUGCCACGCUAGAGGACCGGAGAGGAGACUGGAAUUCUCGGUGUAGCAGUGAAAUGCGUAGAGAUCGAGAGGAACACUCGUGGCGAAGGCGAGUCUCUGGACGGUUCCUGACGCUGAGGCACGAAGGCCAGGGGAGCGAAAGGGAUUAGAUACCCCUGUAGUCCUGGCAGUAAACGGUGCGCGCUUGGUGUGGGAGGAUUCGACCCCUUCUGUGCCGGAGCUAACGCGUUAAGCGCGCCGCCUGGGGAGUACGGCCGCAAGGCUAAAACUCAAAGAAAUUGACGGGGACCCGCACAAGCGGUGGAGUAUGUGGCUUAAUUCGAUGCAACGCGAAGAACCUUACCUGGGCUUGACAUGCAUCUCUAAGCACGUGAAAGCGUGUGACCCUUCGGGGAAUUUGCACAGGUGCUGCAUGGCCGUCGUCAGCUCGUGUCGUGAGAUGUUGGGUUAAGUCCCGCAACGAGCGCAACCCCUGUGAAUAGUUGCCAGCACGUUAUGGUGGGGACUCUAUUCAGACUGCCCAGAUCAACUGGGAGGAAGGUGGGGACGACGUCAGGUCAGUAUGGCCCUUACGCCCAGGGCUGCACACGUACUACAAUGCCCAGUACAAUGAGAACCGAGACCGCGAGGUGGAGGAAAUCUGGAAAACUGGGCCCAGUUCGGAUUGGAGGCUGCAACCCGCCUCCAUGAAGUCGGAAUCGCUAGUAAUGGCGCAUCAGCAACGGCGCCGUGAAUACGU